GACGUACCACCCAAACGUUAUUCGGAAUCACUGGGCGUAAAGGGUGCGUAGGCGGCCGUGCAAGUCUGGCGUGAAAGCCCCGGGCUCAGCCCGGGAAGUGCGCUCGAAACUGCGCGGCUCGAGUGCCGGAGGGGAGAGUGGAAUUCCUGGUGUAGCGGUGAAAUGCGUAGAUAUCAGGAGGAAUACCGGUGGCGAAAGCGACUCUCUGGACGGCAACUGACGCUGAGGCACGAAAGCGUGGGGAGCAAACAGG
Molecule: ribosomal RNA, 253 nt
Filed under: uncultured bacterium
Lineage: Bacteria
Description: partial 16S ribosomal RNA
Rfam family: Bacterial small subunit ribosomal RNA
Source: RNAcentral